Molecule: ribosomal RNA, 253 nt
Filed under: uncultured bacterium
Lineage: Bacteria
Description: partial 16S ribosomal RNA
Rfam family: Bacterial small subunit ribosomal RNA
Source: RNAcentral
UACGGAGGAUGCAAGCGUUAUCCGGAUUUAUUGGGUUUAAAGGGUGCGUAGGCGGAAUGAUAAGUCAGUGGUGAAAGCCUGCAGCUUAACUGCAGAACUGCCAUUGAUACUGUCAGUCUUGAGUAUAUUUGAUGUGGGCGGAAUGUGUCAUGUAGCGGUGAAAUGCUUAGAUAUGACACAGAACACCGAUUGCGAAGGCAGCUCACAAAACUAUAACUGACGCUGAGGCACGAAAGCGUGGGGAUCAAACAGG